This 65-nucleotide transfer RNA is filed under the name Lasioglossum fulvicorne. RNAcentral describes it as "tRNA-Tyr". The record is from RNAcentral. Lineage: Eukaryota; Metazoa; Arthropoda; Insecta; Hymenoptera; Halictidae.
AAUAUUAUGCCUGAUUAAAGGAGUAAAUUGUAAAUUUAUAAAUGAAAUUGAUUUUUCUAAUAUUA